This 472-nucleotide ribosomal RNA is filed under the name uncultured bacterium. RNAcentral describes it as "bacterial SSU rRNA". It matches the Rfam family "Bacterial small subunit ribosomal RNA", at positions 355 to 825 of the family's 1533-position model. The record is from RNAcentral.
UGGGGAAUAUUGGACAAUGGGGGAAACCCUGAUCCAGCGACGCCGCGUGUGUGAAGAAGGCCUGCGGGUUGUAAAGCACUUUCGGUGGGAACGAAAUAUGCCGGGUUAAUACCCCGGUAGGCUGACGUUACUCAAUGAAGAAGCACCGGCUAACUCUGUGCCAGCAGCCGCGGUAAUACAGAGGGUGCGAGCGUUAAUCGGAAUUACUGGGCGUAAAGCGCACGUAGGUGGCGACGUAAGUCGGGUGUGAAAGCCCCGGACUCAACCUGGGAACCGCAUUCGAGACUGUGUUGCUGGAGUACGGAAGAGGAGGGCGGAAUUCCCGGUGUAGCGGUGAAAUGCGUAGAUAUCAAGAGGAACACCUGAGGUGAAGACGGGUUGCUGGGCUGACACUGACGCUGAGGCGCGAAAGCCAGGGGAGCAAACGGGAUUAGAUACCCAAGUAGUCCCUGAGCGGGCUGGCAAGGCGCAU